GUGCUCGCUUCGGUGGCACAUAUACUAAAAUUGGAAUGAUACAGGGAAGAUUAGCAGGGCCCCUGCACAAGGAUGACAUGCAAAUUUAUGAAACAUUCCAUAUUUUU
Molecule: small nuclear RNA, 107 nt
Filed under: Moschus moschiferus (Siberian musk deer)
Lineage: Eukaryota; Metazoa; Chordata; Mammalia; Artiodactyla; Moschidae
Source: RNAcentral